Plodia interpunctella (Indianmeal moth) is the source of this 955-nucleotide long non-coding RNA. RefSeq lists it as uncharacterized. The record is from RefSeq and is a predicted model, not a curated record. The transcript has 3 exons. NCBI's taxonomy places the organism in Eukaryota, Metazoa, Arthropoda, Insecta, Lepidoptera, Pyralidae.
AAAUUUAAAUUAAUAGGAAAUAUAAUAAAUUACAGAGAUUGAUAAUUUUGACUUUGGUCGUUUAGUAAAUAAUUGAUUUUGGCAGAUUUAUAUAUGCAUAUACUAAAUUCUUUCAAAGACAUACACUUUUUUUUUCAAAAAUCCUAUGGACACAUUUUGAGCUAUUACCGAGGAUACCCAAUGAAAGCGUCGGCAUUAUUAGGCCUUGGAACACCACCACAUUGAUUUUACUUCGUAGGUGCGGAGGACAAGACCCUACCUAAUCAUUUGGGAAACGAAGCGUGGGCUCUGACGUCGCUGGCGCUGCAGGACGACGGGCUUCACGAUCACAAGCGACUGCGCAAGGAUUGUAGUGCAUCUAUUGGAUAGAGCUAAGCGAGCAGAAUAUCUUCAUGCGUCUGUCGGCGGUCGCCACAUGCCGGCCGCACAUAAAUCUCCUUGGCAAUAUGAAACGCCCGUAAUAUCACAAUAACCCUUCUCGCAGUGCUGCCAUCGCCGCGCUGACAUAAAUUGGAAUUAUUAUGACUAGAAAUUUCAGAAAUAGUGGACAACCGGUUGUCCGCACUAUUAGUAGACUUAACCAAAACAAGGUUGGCAGUAGUGAGAAUUUUAAUUAAAAUGAAGCAAUGCUAUUUCCCGUUGUCGAAUGAUGUGUUCGUCGAUGAACGUGUUAGCAAACGUCAAGCAUCACGACGCGGCACGUUUACAGGACCGACACCGUGACACCACACGACAUAUCGUGCUGUUAUAAAGUCACAUGCCACAUGACGAAAAAAGAUAUAAUGUUAUAUUUUAAUCAUAUUAUUGAAUUGUAGUUAGUUUUGCAGAUAUAAAACCUUCAGGAAUGGCAGAGAUUAUAAAAUAUUUUUAGGAAACUGGAUUGUAGUAUAGUCAUUAAGACUACGACAUAAUCUAACAAGGUUUUGCAAAGAUCCAUUUUUCUAUGUCUUUUUUU